This 71-nucleotide transfer RNA is filed under the name Hoplasoma unicolor. RNAcentral's name for it is "tRNA-Val". Lineage: Eukaryota; Metazoa; Arthropoda; Insecta; Coleoptera; Chrysomelidae. The record is from RNAcentral.
UCAAAUUGGAGCUUAAUUGAAAGUAUUUUAUUUACAUUAAAAAGUUAAUUGUUAAAUCAAUUUAAUUUGAA